AGGCGCCCGGCGCCCGGCGCAAUGAGUGCCAACGAGGACCAAGAGAUGGAACUAGAAGCAUUACGUUCAAUUUAUGAAGGAGAUGAAAGUUUCCGGGAAUUAAGUCCAGUUUCCUUUCAAUAUAGGGUGAAAAUGGUGAUCCCAAGGCCUUCUUAAUAGAGAUUUCCUGGACAGAAACAUAUCCCCAGACCCCUCCGGUUAUAUCCAUGAAUGCUUUUUUUAACAACACCAUAUCAUCCGCUGUAAAACAGAGUAUAUUAGCCAAGUUACAGGAAGCAGUAGAAGUUAAUCUCGGAACCGCCAUGACCUACACGCUCUUCGAAUAUGCCAAGGACAAUAAGGAGCAGUUCAUGGAGAACCAUCAUCCUGUUCAUUCCACUACAUCAAUAAACAAUAUCAUCUCAGUUGAAACUCCUAAUACAGCCCCACCAAGUAAGAAAAAAGACAAAAAAGAACAACUUUCAAAAGCCCAGAAACGUAAACUGGCAGAUAAAACAGAUCACAAAGGGGAACUUCCUCGAGGCUGGAACUGGGUUGAUGUUGUGAAGCAUUUAAGCAAAACUGGCUCUAAAGAUGAUGAGUAGUACUUGGAACUGGAGACAAGGAAAGAGCAUCCUCAAAAGUAAACUGGGUUCAAAAUCUUUCAUGACUAUUUUCUGGUAUUGAGGUGGCUUUUUAUAAAACACGAUUUUUUGUAUGUUUCUUACAUUUAAAAUGUAGGUUGAAAGUUCAUGAAGAGAUCUGGUUGUAUUGAAUUAUUUUCACAAACUUGCCUUAAUAAAAGGUGAAAAUGUUACUGUUUAGUACACCUUAUGAAGCCUGUUGAGCUUUGUAAAUGGACAGAUAUAGGGAAUAAUAAUCAGUGUUAAUUUACAUGAUCUUAUUCUAGUAAAUGGGAUAUUUUUUUUAAAGUGUAGAGCCCUUUUUAAACUGUCAUCCCAAAGGAGCAGAGAGAGUAUUGACCGACCCAUAUUAACAGACUUCUCAUC
Molecule: RNA transcript, 989 nt
Organism: Carlito syrichta (Philippine tarsier)
Lineage: Eukaryota; Metazoa; Chordata; Mammalia; Primates; Tarsiidae
Gene name: RWD domain-containing protein 4 pseudogene
Exons: 1
Source: RefSeq, a predicted model, not a curated record